GAUGAACGCUGGCGGCGUGCCUAAUACAUGCAAGUAGAACGCUGAAGCUUGGUGCUUGCACCGAACGGAUGAGUUGCGAACGGGUGAGUAACGCGUAGGUAACCUGCCUCUUAGCGGGGGAUAACUAUUGGAAACGAUAGCUAAUACCGCAUAAAAGUCGAUAUCGCAUGAUGUUGAUUUGAAAGGUGCAAUUGCAUCACUAAGAGAUGGACCUGCGUUGUAUUAGCUAGUUGGUGAGGUAACGGCUCACCAAGGCGACGAUACAUAGCCGACCUGAGAGGGUGAUCGGCCACACUGGGACUGAGACACGGCCCAGACUCCUACGGGAGGCAGCAGUAGGGAAUCUUCGGCAAUGGGGGCAACCCUGACCGAGCAACGCCGCGUGAGUGAAGAAGGUUUUCGGAUCGUAAAGCUCUGUUGUAAGAGAAGAACGAGUGUGAGAGUGGAAAGUUCACACUGUGACGGAACUACCAGAAAG
Molecule: ribosomal RNA, 478 nt
Filed under: Streptococcus parasanguinis
Lineage: Bacteria; Bacillati; Bacillota; Bacilli; Lactobacillales; Streptococcaceae
Description: bacterial SSU rRNA
Rfam family: Bacterial small subunit ribosomal RNA
Source: RNAcentral